RNAcentral lists this ribosomal RNA (336 nucleotides) under Triticum aestivum (bread wheat). Its description in RNAcentral is "partial small subunit ribosomal RNA". The record is from RNAcentral. Lineage: Eukaryota; Viridiplantae; Streptophyta; Magnoliopsida; Poales; Poaceae.
AUGGACCUUGGACGCCUCAAUUAUGGGAUCAUUACCCUCAUCCCAAAGGUUUCGGGCGCCUCUGAUAUUCGCCAGUUCCAUCCCAUCACCGUGAUUAACGUGAUAUUCCGGAUCCUGGCCAAAGGGUACGCCAAUAGGGUGACCCUGCUUGCUAACUCGAUCACUCACCCGAACCAAUCGGCCUUCAUCUAAGGCCGGUUUAUUUUAGAUGGCGUGUUGGUCUUCCAUGAAGUCCUUCACGAAGUUCAGGUGAAACAACAUCGCGCUGUCUUCCUGAAGCUGGACUUUCAUAGAGCUUAUGAUACUGUGCACUGGCCUUUCCUUCAGGAAGUGCUG